This 426-nucleotide ribosomal RNA is filed under the name uncultured bacterium. RNAcentral's name for it is "partial 16S ribosomal RNA". It matches the Rfam family "Bacterial small subunit ribosomal RNA", at positions 354 to 796 of the family's 1533-position model. The record is from RNAcentral.
GUGAGGAAUUUUCCGCAAUGGGCGAAAGCCUGACGGAGCAAUGCCGCGUGAAGGAUGAAGGCCUAUGGGUUGUAAACUUCUUUUCUCAGAAAAGAAUUAUGACGGUAUCUGAGGAAUAAGCAUCGGCUAACUCUGUGCCAGCAGCCGCGGUAAGACAGAGGAUGCAAGCGUUAUCCGGAAUGAUUGGGCGUAAAGCGUCUGUAGGUUGUUUAAAAAGUAUUCUGUCAAAGAUUAGGGCUUAACCCUAGAUAGGCAGAAUAAACUUUUAAGCUAGAGUUUGGUAGAGGCAGAGGGAAUUCCCGGUGGAGCGGUGAAAUGCGUAGAUAUCAGGAGGAACACCAAAGGCGAAGGCACUCUGCUGGGCCAAUACUAACACUGAGAGACGAAAGCGAGGGGAGCAAAUGGGAUUAGAAACCCGUGUAGUCC